Molecule: ribosomal RNA, 819 nt
Filed under: Triticum aestivum (bread wheat)
Lineage: Eukaryota; Viridiplantae; Streptophyta; Magnoliopsida; Poales; Poaceae
Description: partial small subunit ribosomal RNA
Source: RNAcentral
CUCUGUAUUCCCAAGUGUGAUGGUGGCAUGGGCUUUAGAGAUCUCCGUUCUUUUAAUCUGGCACUCCUUGCAAAACAAUGUUGGAGAAUGAUAACUAACCCUGAAUCUGUUUGUGCUCGCAUAUUGAAGGCAAAGUACUUUCCAAAUACUGAUUUAUUACAUGCAGGCCCAAAGAAUGGUUCCUCGUUCACCUGGCAGAGUAUUGUUGCUGGAUUAACUACUUUUAAAAGAGGGUACAUAUGGCGUAUUGGAUCAGGGGAGAACCUGAAUAUUUGGACUUAUCCGUGGACCCCCUCCAGUCCGGAUAGAAAAAUUAUCACUCCUCGUGGACAUACAGUGAUCUCUAAAGUUGUUGAACUAAUUGACCCGAUCACAAACCAUUGGGAUGAACAGUUAAUUAGAGACAUUUUUUAUCCAGUUGACGCAACUAGAAUCCUUCAGAUACCACUUAACUUUCAGGCAUUUGAUGACUUUAUUGCGUGGAAUCUCAUGAAGAGCAGUAUUUUUUCAGUUAGAAGUGCAUAUCAUGAACAAUGGCUACACAAAUAUAGGAGUCAUUCUAAUGGAAAUUUGACGUCUACUAGUGCCAUGCAAGCAGUGAUUUGGAAGCAACUAUGGGAGAUGCAGGUGCCGAGGAUUCAGAUUUUUUGUUGGCGCGCUCUCCGUGGUAUUGUCCCGCUAAACUCUAUACUGGCAAAUAGACAUAUACCUAUCAAUGACAUAUGUCCGAUUUGCGACAAUGCUCCAGAGGAUAUGAGACAUAUGUUGUUUCAGUGUGAGAUGGCAAAAAAGCUAUGGGCGGGGUUAGGACUCCUCGAG